This 28-nucleotide non-coding RNA is filed under the name Bombyx mori (domestic silkworm). The record is from RNAcentral. Lineage: Eukaryota; Metazoa; Arthropoda; Insecta; Lepidoptera; Bombycidae.
AACUCUACUAAAUCGCAACAAUGCAAAG